Molecule: ribosomal RNA, 581 nt
Filed under: uncultured bacterium
Lineage: Bacteria
Description: partial 16S ribosomal RNA
Rfam family: Bacterial small subunit ribosomal RNA
Source: RNAcentral
UGGGGAAUUUUGGACAAUGGGGGAAACCCUGAUCCAGCCAUCCCGCGUGUGCGAUGAAGGCCUUCGGGUUGUAAAGCACUUUUGGCAGGAAAGAAACGUCGCGGGUUAAUACCCCGCGAAACUGACGGUACCUGCAGAAUAAGCACCGGCUAACUACGUGCCGGCAGCCGCGGUAAUACGUAGGGUGCAAGCGUUAAUCGGAAUUACUGGGCGUAAAGCGUGCGCAGGCGGUUCGGAAAGAAAGAUGUGAAAUCCCAGAGCUUAACUUUGGAACUGCAUUUUUAACUACCGGGCUAGAGUGUGUCAGAGGGAGGUGGAAUUCCGCGUGUAGCAGUGAAAUGCGUAGAUAUGCGGAGGAACACCGAUGGCGAAGGCAGCCUCCUGGGAUAACACUGACGCUCAUGCACGAAAGCGUGGGGAGCAAAACAGGAUUAGAUACCCUGGUAGUCCACGCCCUAAACGAUGUCAACUAGCUGUUGGGGCCUUCGGGCCUUGGUAGCGCAGCUAACGCGUGAAGUUGACCGCCUGGGGAGUACGGUCGCAAGAUUAAAACUUAAAGGAAUUGACGGGGGUGCAUAGCU